RNAcentral lists this ribosomal RNA (317 nucleotides) under Staphylococcus cohnii subsp. cohnii. RNAcentral's name for it is "bacterial LSU rRNA". It matches the Rfam family "Bacterial large subunit ribosomal RNA", at positions 1 to 317 of the family's 2925-position model. The record is from RNAcentral. Lineage: Bacteria; Bacillati; Bacillota; Bacilli; Caryophanales; Staphylococcaceae.
AGAUUAAGUUAUUAAGGGCGCACGGUGGAUGCCUUGGCACUAGAAGCCGAUGAAGGACGUUACUAACGACGAUAUGCUUUGGGGAGCUGUAAGUAAGCUGUGAUCCAGAGAUUUCCGAAUGGGGGAACCCAAUACGAGUUAUGUCGUAUUAUCGAUACGUAAAUACAUAGCGUAUCGAAGGUAGACGCGGAGAACUGAAACAUCUUAGUACCUGCAGGAAGAGAAAGAAAAAUCGAUUCCCUGAGUAGCGGCGAGCGAAACGGGAAGAGCCCAAACCAACGAGCUUGCUUGUUGGGGUUGUAGGACACUCUAUACGG